Molecule: transfer RNA, 70 nt
Filed under: Cavia porcellus (domestic guinea pig)
Lineage: Eukaryota; Metazoa; Chordata; Mammalia; Rodentia; Caviidae
Rfam family: tRNA
About the family: Transfer RNA (tRNA) molecules are approximately 80 nucleotides in length. Their secondary structure includes four short double-helical elements and three loops (D, anti-codon, and T loops).
Source: Rfam by way of RNAcentral
UGGGGUAUAGGUCAGUGGCAGACCACACGCUUGGCAUGCCUGAAGUCCUGGGUUCAAUCCCAAAUCCCAA